GCGUUGUUCGGAAUUACUGGGCGUAAAGGGCGCGUAGGCGGCCUGUUUAGUCAGAAGUGAAAGCCCCGGGCUCAACCUGGGAAUAGCUUUUGAUACUGGCAGGCUUGAGUUCCGGAGAGGAUGGUGGAAUUCCCAGUGUAGAGGUGAAAUUCGUAGAUAUUGGGAAGAACACCGGUGGCGAAGGCGGCCAUCUGGACGGACACUGACGCUGAGGCGCGAAAGCGUG
Molecule: ribosomal RNA, 226 nt
Filed under: uncultured bacterium
Lineage: Bacteria
Description: partial 16S ribosomal RNA
Rfam family: Bacterial small subunit ribosomal RNA
Source: RNAcentral